Molecule: small nuclear RNA, 103 nt
Organism: Cavia aperea (Brazilian guinea pig)
Lineage: Eukaryota; Metazoa; Chordata; Mammalia; Rodentia; Caviidae
Source: Ensembl
GCACUUGAUUGGGCAGCACAUAUACUAAAAUUGGAACGAUACAGAGAUUAGCACAGUUUUGCACAAGGAUGACAUACAAAUUCUUGAUGCAUCCCAUGUUAAA